UCUCUCUUCCUUUAGACCAAGCACGGGUACGGAGUAGAUGGAGUUAAACACCUUUUAAGUUGACAGAACGAGGAGACAAAUGAUCAGAAGUCCAUUCACUGUUUCGCCGCUCAUGAGGGGGAGAGUCUCUGCAGCAAGUCCCGCGACCUGCUCUUGCCAGAUGCUUCGGACAGACUCUCGCCGUUCUGCUGAAAACGGCUGAUUUUUAUUGAAGAUUACAGGAAUGUUACAUACGUAGUUUGCCAUACACACACGUAAUUCUGCCAUCUGCACCUGCAGACGCACGUCAGCUAAUAGCCUUGUUAAUGAAAGACCAAUUCAUCCCAAGGACAUGCAACCUUGAGAUGAUCAGGACACAUCCUGCAACAUCCUUUGCUAACAAAGACAGUUGUUCUUGUAUUGAGGAACUGAAGGAAGGAACGCUUUCACUCCCUUAUGCAGCUGUUCAGCUUGAGCAGAAAAGGCACAGAGAGGUCUUUGAUAUUAUAACAAGAUUCCAUGAAAAGGCAUAUAAUAAUGUAUUUAUGAUAAUAUAUAAGGGGCAAAAGUGAGAGAUACAUAUUUAAUCAUAUAAAAGAGCUUAUAAUAAUAUAUGAAAGAGCUUAUAUGAGAGAUAUAUAUUUUCAAUCCCCCUUUUGAACUCUUUUAAGAGUUCAAUAAAGAUAUAAGAAAUCAAAACAAUAACACCAAAUUCCAUCAAAAAGAAUCCAAUAAGCAAAGUUUUAAAAUACAAAUACAAACAAUCAAUCAGGUUACAGCUUCUCAUAUUUCCAGCAGUAAACUAAUACAAAAAAAAAACAUGAUCAUAUUUUUAACUGAACAUGUUACAACAUGUAUGGAUCGCAUGCAACUCCAUAUGAGGGCGAAAAACCCUAAUUAUCAUAUGUUUAUAGGGAAAAUUCCCCCAUGUCCCCCCAUUUGUCAUAUCUCAAUUUUGGGGCGAACACCUGUUGGCAUAGAGUGUGCAUGCCUAGGACAUCAAUGAUCAACAAAAAAUAAAACAAAACAAACAAAAAAAUCAUAAAAAUGAACUGGUGAAGGGAUGGUUACAUAAAUCACUGAACAUUCUCACACUCUAACAACAUCUUCUUCAUCAUGAGAGUCAUCACUAUCAUCAGAGAGUUCCCCUCCCAAAUAGAUGUUAGGAUUGGCUAGUAACAAGGGCAUCUGGAUAAUUGGGUCAGCAGGUGGAGGAGAGAUGGCAGUGGUGAUCAAUAUGUGCAUUCAGAAUUGAGUUUGGGAAUGCAAUGAGUGUAAACAUAUAUCUAAUACUAAACAGGUAAAUGAAUAAUAAUAUAAAAUGAGUAGUGGGUAUAAAAUAUAACCCUUGUAAAAUAAAUGAGGGUGUUAAAUAGAACCCUUGUAGAAUGUUCAUAGGGUGGUUACUUCUUCCCCCUGUUGAGGACCCUUCACUGGCUCCAGGCAGCUGCAGGGGGUGAUGAUGUCAUGAUUCUCGCCCUGCAGGAUGUGGUGGCAGCUUGGCAUGCUACUGCAGUCAGCUACUUCUCUUCCUGGUUUUUGGAUCCUUUCUCUGGUUAGGCAGAUGUCAGCUGCUUCUCGUCCUGGUCCUUGGGUACUUUUUCUGGUCAGGCAGAUGUCGGCUGCUUCUCUUCCAGGUUAGGCUCCUCCCGUCCAGCCGGACAGCGUGUGACGUCCUCUCCGUGAUCCUGUAUGGCUCGGUCCACCUCGGUUCCGUCCACUUCCUUUUGGUGACUUUUAGCAGGACCCAGACGCCUGGCACCGAAGACGAAGCCUCUUCGUGUGUGUAGUUUUGGUCCAAUGAAGGCUUUCUCGACUUGUGCAGUCCAAUUGAUCUCGGCAGAUAGUUGGUAGGAAGAUUCACACUCCGGCCGGACCAGAAGUUCCCCGGACCGAUCGCCUAGGGAUUAAAGGUUAUGCACAAAAAUGUCCUAGCUCUUACUGACCCUAGCCUCUGAUACCUUCAACAUCAGACACAUACAGUUACGAACAGCAAGCGCAAUUAAAGGUACAGUGACAUCACGACAUGGACACACAGACACACAAACACAUACACAUGCACAUACACAGAGAGAGAGAGGGAGAGAGUAAGAAUGUGUGUGGGAGAAAGAAAUGUGUGGGAUCCAUUUUGCCACCAGCAUCUCCACCUGUGUCACAGAGAAAAAAUUGCAAAGAAAUUAAAACAUAAAGCAAACAACAAUAAUUCAAUGAGUAUAAAUGAUCAAACUAAAAUAUACAACCAUGCAUGGGUUUUAUAACAGUUCCAGCAACACUGGAGAUGAUGCCUUGUACAAUGAAUUCUUAAGAUGUCCUUCAUUAAUUAGAGGUUAUAACCAAAUUGUUUCAGGAUCCUGAAUUUGAAUUUGAAUUGGUUAAUUUACUCAGAAUAGUCCAAUGUCUUUGUUGAUGUUUCUCAAGGCUCGGCCAUGCCCAUAUAGAUAAAAUAAGCAAACAAACAAGACAAACACAGUCAAACACACGGUCCAUACACGUCUCUGUGCCCUCACACACCAAGCAAAUGUCAGACUGAAGCGAAAGUGUGAAAUACUUAACCUAACGCUAAAUCAGUGGAAAGAAAAAAUAAGACCUAAAGCGUGUAAUCAAAUUAAUCCAACAAAACUUCCCAUAACUGCUGUUCUAAACUCACGUUGCAGUGUGAUCUCUCCAAUUAAAAAUUAGGACAACCACUUUUACUAUCAAUUCAACCAAAUAGUUUCAGGUUGUCCCUUACCUAAACUACCUGUCUUUCUUACCUUCUUUCUUUCUUUCUUUCUUUCUUUCUUUUUUAGGAACACUACUCGCACAAGAAAUCCUAAGAAUUAAUUCACUACUUAAGGUUAAUUCAUAAAUAACGAAACUGCAGUUACAGGUUUGUUUGUGCAUAGUAUUGGUAAUCAGCAGUUUUUUCCUUAUCUCCUCAUCUAGAAGUGUUUCUGUGCUACUCCUCCAUCUAUAACACAAGUUAGUAUCAUCCUUAAAGCAUCUGAAAUUAAGCUGCAUUGCUAAAUCAAUAACGUGAUUUGUGCUAAGAAAUACUCCCCUAUCCUCUUCCUUUUUCCAGUGGCGCUGAAUGACAGAUUUUAGAUCAAUUUAACGUUUUAUCACUAUUACGUUUCAUUUAAUUAAUUUUGCUUUUUCUCUCUUAUUUUUGUCUAUUUAUUUAUUUAUGUUAUUUACUUAUUUAUCAUGCCAUCCUGUGAUGAUAAUCUUAAAGACUUUUUAGCCAAUUGUCGUCAAAAAGGCCAAUUAAAAUAUUAUGUUAAAGAUUUCACAAGAUAAAAAAUGUGUACAUAAUUUUUAUCGAAUGAGGGGUACCAUUUAUUCAAUAUCUUGUAACAUUAUUUACUACCUCACUAUUGUCUCGGAUGAGAUGUUCCAUGAAUCAUUUAGUCAGCUGAAUGCCAAAUUAUUCAUUUAAUGUUUAUUUUUAUGCAAUGAAUGGAAUGGGAUGGAACGUUACUAUAAACUGUCCGGAAAUUUGCGCAUGUUUACUCGAAGGAGAGAACUGUUGAAGCCUAAAGCGUUCUCCUAGACUUAUAAAUAGACACCGUUUCCUUAACCAAUGAAAAUAAGUGAUGACGCUGAUGUAUUCCGUUUUGAAAAGAAAAUAAGGCUUUACUGCAUGUCCGCUGCAGCUGAUAAUCCUAAGACAAUAAAGAUUAUAUUGACGUCCAAUGGUGAGUUGGGCUGAAAUCCAGGUUACUAAUCCUAUUAUUUAUUUAUUUAUUGAUAUUAUUAUUAUCUUUUUUUAGGCUAACUUUCUCAGUUAACUAUGUUCUACAGUAGUUUAGUAAAUUUUCCACAGUUCUGACAUUUCAUCAAUUCAACUGGUUGUUGCCAAAAAGCCUUGUUCAUUACCUGACUGCAGCAAGCACUCUUUUACUGGGUGUAACCAUAGGAAACAGUCUCUUUUGAGCCUUUCUUUGUAAGUCCAGGAUGACCACCGUCAUUGAUUAAAGUUCACAUGUUAGCACACAUGCUCCCCCUUUUGUACUUUGUUUCAUCAGCAGCAGGGCAAAUAAGUUUCUGCCUCUUUGUCCAUCUUGUAGUGCUCCCCGUCUUUAUGUUAUGAGUCACAGCUUUUGGUGAGGGCUUCCAGGUUCUCUUUGGUGAGGGCUUCCAGGUUCUCUUUGUAUAGAAGUCAGAGCCAAACAUUCUUUGCAGCUGGUUGUGACAGGCCCACCCAGUAAAGUUCAUGCCUGCCACAAUGCACAGCAAACGUUUUCCUUAAAUAUGUUGAUUGAGUUAAAAUGACAGAACUUUCUCUUUUACAAAUCAAAAUCAACGAUGGUUUCUAAUAUUUAGUCGACUUUAUUGACUCAAAGGUAAAUCUAGACUACUUCCUAUGCACAAUUUUUCUGAAUCGUCAAGUCGGUUCUACACAGGUUUUAAACUUUAGGCACAAUCUAUCCCAAAUGCAAGAUCCCUCCUUUCAUUUUUUGUUUAUCUAUUUUAUUUUGGGAAAAUAACUACCAGUUUUUAACUCAAAACAGCCUAGUACAGUUUCUAGCCAGGUUACAGGAAAUAAUACUUAGUUUAUCUGUUUUUUCAUUAUUCAGCAUCUCAAAAUCCAGCCAUUAACGUUAAUGGUUCUUAAAGUUGAGGCAAGACAAUUAUUGGAUUUUGUUUUAUAGCAAGAUUUAACAAAUAUUUUAUUUCCUUACUGAUUAUUUGUUAAUUUUAUGGUUUUCAUAAAGAUGAUCCUGAGAGGUUCAGAGCUGCUUUUCGCAGCACCCUGUGCUAUUUUUAGACUGCGGAACUCCUGUGUGUAAAAGUGGGUGGAGUCAGGUCCCCAGGCUGAAACUCCAGUCAUUCUCACUAGAUCUGUCCGAGAGGAAGGAUCUCCUGAAUACCCUAACCAGAAGCCUUAAGUCUCUUGAACUAAAUAACCGUCUAGCAAAAACAUGGACCGCACCCUGUUUCUCAAGCAGCUGCUCCCUCUAUUAAAAACUGAGUCAUUCAGAAGAUCCAGCGAAAGCAGCUCAUGCAAGAAGACACACAUUCACUCAUUCACAAGGCACAGAGACAUUCUUUGUUUGUCACAGUCUCUUUUUAUUAUUAUUAUUAUUUUUUUAAGGUAAGUCAGUUCGUCACUUAUUUAUUCUCUCUCUAUAUAUAUAUAAUAUUUUAAGCACAGAAUUUAUUUAACACUGCACUGGUUAUUUUCAGAAUUUAAUGCUUACUAUGCUUUUAAGCAGGCCUUAUGUAACAUUAGAGCAAAUCCAAUUGCAAUUUUUUUGAGAGCGCUCUGAGGAAUAGUUUAUAUAUUUAUUUUCUGCAGAUCUGUUUUGAUUUUACUGUUUAGCAGCUAUAUGACUAUAUUUCUAAAAUAAAGCUGUCAUUUACAUCCUUA
Non-coding RNA from Nothobranchius furzeri (turquoise killifish), 5332 nucleotides. The record is from RefSeq and is a predicted model, not a curated record. NCBI's taxonomy places the organism in Eukaryota, Metazoa, Chordata, Actinopteri, Cyprinodontiformes, Nothobranchiidae.